UGCAUAUUAUCUGAAUACUUGUUGUCUAUGUUGGAUGGAUGAUUUUAUACAUGUUUUAAAUGAUUUAAACUGUAUAUUUAUAUCUACUAAUAUGUUGGGAUAAAACAUGGGUAGAUGAAAUAGUUGGUGUGUGAUGAAAUAAAAUAAUGAGAGAUAGGUGAUGAUAAUUAGGUGAGGAUAGAUAAGUGAUGAUGAAUCGGUGAUGUAGGAUACUACAACCUUGUCCGACAAUUUGGAGAUGUAGUCAUCUACCAGAGUAUAGAUGGCGACCACGGACUAUUAUAGACAACCCCGUGGAAACACCAGCAGGCUCAUAACCUGUAGGUGAUGAAUUACGAGUUCAGGCGAUGUUGUAACUAUGUAUUCAUGCGAUGAUACUCUAACCCCCUUACUAUGAAUUACGAGUUCAGGCGAUGUUGUAACUACGUAUUCAUGUGAUGAUACUCUAACCCCCUUACUAUGAAUUACGAGUUUAGGCGAUGUUGUAACUACGUAUUCAUGCGAUGAUACCCUAACCCUUGGUGGGCACGUAUUGAGGGAGUAAUCCCUGAAUCAAUACUGUCUAGGCGAUGUAGGCGAUGAUCCUUAGGGAAAGUCCUUAGGAACAAACAUAUAAGGAGAUGCGAUGUAAGAAGAUGAGAGGUAAAAUAUGAUGUAGGAGACGACCCUUAGGAUAAAUCCUUAGGGAGGGUACUUAGGAAUAAAGAAGAUAAUGGGGAUGGGUAAUUGGGUUAAUUGUUUGAUGAUUGAACAUAAUAAUUAUAUUAUUGUGGGUUGAAAACCCUAUGUACUCACCAGGUUUCCCAACUUGACCCACUCAGUUUAUUUAUAUCACAGGUGUUGUUAUGAAGUCACAUUACACUGAGAGAUUAAAUAGAUGUGGAUCACUAGUGUAAAUAAAUGUAAGUUCUGUUUAUGCUUAUGUUUUUGUAUUGGCGAUGACAUCCCAAACGUUUUAAAAUGAAUAAAAUACGUUUCUUCGAAAAUGUUUUGAUAACGUAUUUAACAUGUUUUUCUGGGAACAAAUUCCGCAACAUUUUUAUAAAAAGAAGUACUCUGAUUUUUACAAAGCAUAAACAAAAUCGGUCUUUUCUGGCCGUGAAAAUGGGGAUGUCACAGUUGGUAUCAGAGCAUUAGUUUAAGCGAACUAGGAAUAUGGAUUUAUUUCUAGACUUAAACUUAGAAUGCUAAGCAAUGAUGGUGAGGAGUGUGUCUUAGGUAAUACACCUGAAUAGACACAACGACUAGCUUAUUUAGGGAAAAUGCCUAACAUGCUUUUAUGUGCUAAAUGAUUUAUGAUGCUAAAUGUAUAAUCGGAUCUAUAGUCUGUUGCCGACCGGAUCUGGAAAUUUUAUGUGCUCAGGUUUCUAAACGUUUAAUUACGAUAUUAGAACUGACAUGUAACUUUUCGGAGUAAUAGGGAGAUUUAUACGUCUAUCGUAAAUAAAACUUUCCUAUCUUAAAUUCUCGCCUCGGUACAUCGAAUGUCUGAUUUGGUGCAUAGAUCAACAUGGUGAGCACUAGAAGCGGAUUUGGAAGCAGUAACCCGCAGCCCGAGCCACCAGUGAUUAAGCAUGUGCCAGAGGUAGCAGCUGUACCUGGGCCAAUCACGAUCGCCGGAGUACAAGCAAUGGUGCAGAUAAUGUUGGAUCAACAGAUGGAAAAAACAAGGUGUUUACUUCAACAAAGUAAGGACGAACUUACUGUGCCAGUACGCCAGACACCCACUCUUGAGGCGACCAUCUGGGUUGCUAAGUCUGUCGAUGAAGUGAUCAACAGUAGUAUCGCUAACAGGGUUGAUGUUGGCAAGAAAAGGAAAUUUGAGGGGUCUUCAAGGUCUGAAAAGAGCAACCUGCUCUCAAAGUCUGGAGGAGUAGGUAAAGCAGAAUGGUAUGACAAGUAUGGAAGAAAACACAACGGUAGAUGCCCUAAGGAAGUAACAUGCUUCAAAUGCGGGAAGAGUGGUCACUAUGCCCACGAAUGCCCAACUGAGGAAGAAGUUUGCUUUAAGUGUAGUAAAAAGGGACACUUCAAGCAAGAAUGUCCGAUGAGAGCUACAAAGCCAAGUGUACCAUUGAAGCACCAUGGGAGGUACUACGAAAGAGUAACUUGUUUCAAGUGUGGAAAGCAUGGGCAUUACGCCAAUGAGUGUACAUUCAACACUAGGGUGUGUUCCGAAUGUAAUGAGGAAGGGCACCUCAAGCAAGACUGCCCAAAAAGGAAAGGAGUUACAAAGCCAAAGGCACCACUGAAGAACUAUGAGGAGAUGCUACAAAGAAGUGACUUGUUUUAAGUGUGGGAAGAACGAGCAUUACACCAAUGUCUGUACAUCCAGCAAGAGGUUCUGUUACGAAUGCGGGAACAAGGGACAUAUAUCAAAGGAUUGCCCGAAGAAAAAUGAAGCAGCGGGAGCGAAUGCACCUCCAGAGCUAAGGAGCAUCCUUGACAAAGCAGCUGGCAAUGCAAGGAAUCAAGAGUAAGGACGGAUGACCGAAGAACAAGUUAUGAAGUACUCAUGUAGAUAGUACCACGUGGUGUAGCCUAUUAGAGGCAUAGUCUAGGGUGAACUUGAACACCUAUGUAAUAGUUUCAAGAAAUAAUAAAUCCUUCAUUUUGUUAUUUGGUGUGUUAAACUGUUAUGUGAUUUUCUUGUAUGGUGACUUGGAGACUGCGAGACAAUACUUGGGACGAGUAUGAGUAGGUGUGAAUGGUAGUAGAGGCCUAUACUACCGGAAGCACAGGACUCACACUUGGAUCAGGGAAAGUCACAAGGUUACCAAGAAACUAGUAAUUGAUUUCGUUUUAUUCAAGUAUGUCGUUGCCAUUGUUUCGGUAAUGACUAAGAAGAUUGUUGUUAUCCUGACCCUAGUGGUCAUAUCACAUUGAGUCCGACUACGAUGAGUAGGUUACGUGGUUCAGAGAACCAAUUUUGAUGUAGCGUCCGACUUAAACCAAACGAUUGAAAUCAAAGCGAUCAAAAGAAGUAUCACACUCGUUGUUAAAGAAGUUGGAAGCUAGAAAUGCUACAUGUUAAAAUGUGAUUAUAUCACAUUGGACCAUGAAGGAAGGCGUAUUCCAUUCCGGAAAUUGACUCUAAGAGGCCAAAGUCUAAGUGUUGCAACAUACGAUGAUAGAUCAUUAGAAUAUGACACAUUGAUCCAUAGUAGUAAUAAAAGAACUUAUCUUAAGUUCGUAUCCAAUGAGGAUCGACAUCGUGACUUGAAGGUCAUAAUUUGGAGUCUAGCCUGAGGUAGAGAGCAGGUGCAUGAUCGAGUACUGCUUACAGUCAAUGAGUCUAAGAGAUAGACUUGAAGGAAUAUUGAAGUUAUAAUUGUUACAUAGGAUGAAGAGAUGAUGUAUCGAGUCGUUAUACGAGCCCUGUUUCGUUGAUGAUUCCGGGACGUAAUCAUCCUAAGAGGGAGAUAAUUGUAACGCCCGUAGAUCCGGGCUAGUCAAUUUAGAGGCAAUAAGUGUCGAAAACGACUUUUUGGCAAAAGAUUAUUUAUAAUAAAUAGUCUUAAACAAGCUGUAGAAUAUGUUUCCGUACAUAUAAAGAACGCCGAAAUCCGAGUUAUAACGAAGAAGUUAUGACCCGUCGAAGUUCCGAGACGAAACCGGCACGACACCGGGAAGCGUAAAUAGUGAAUUUACGAUAGAGCGAGAUUUAGCCUUAACGACCUAAACAAAAGUCGUAGAAUAUGUUAAACCGAGAAAAUCCAUAAAAAAUGCCCAAAUCUGACUUCGUAUGAAGAAUUUAUGAUUUUUCUAAGAUUCGGCUUAGCAAUGCACGACCCGAAACUCGAAUCUUAGUUCGAGCGGUUUUUGGCUUAAGCGACCUAAAUGAGAGUUGAAGAUCUCAUUAAUAGGAACUCAAAGGUAAAAAUAUAGAUGAAAACGGAUUCCGUAUGAAGGAGUUACGAAUUCUUUUCGGUCAUUUAAUAGUCUAAACGCCUCCUACUGGUAAAUUUAAGAUCGCUCGAGAAUUAGCCGACGGAGUCUAAAUGAAAGCUGUAGAUCUUGAUUUUACCUACGGGUGGAAAAAAAGAACGUCGAAAACGGAGCUCGUAUGCGGAAGUUACGGGAUUUAGAAGUCGGCAGGGUGCUGCUGCAAAAGGGGUGACGUGGCNAUGAUGACAUGUGGCACUGACUCGGCGAGUCAGUGAACCGACUCGGCGAGUCCAUCAGGAUUUCACACUAUAAAUAGAUGUGUCGGGUUCCAUUCAUUCUCACACCUUUCCUCUUCCAAUUUCUCUCUCUAAAUUCUCUCUCUAACCCCCCUUAAGCCCCCUAAAGCCUAGGUAAACCCCCUAGCACCCGAAGGAAGCCCCAAGGAUCCUGGAGUUCCGAAAAAAAGCCUUUCGGCUCGGGAACGCUGCUCCAGCGAAGCCCGGUUUUGCGAAAAACCCGCUGUAAGUGAGAUGUACCUAUCCUAUCUUUAGUAUAGCUUAUAUUACAAUAUAGUAAUGUUAUUAGGACCUUAUAAGGAGUAUUUGGGAUAUUAUUAUGGGUUAUAUAAGUAUUGUUUAACGCUUAUAUAAUAAUAAUAACUAGACUAUUAAAUUAGUCUCGUCAAGCGUUAGACUAAAGGGAUAAUUGUUUUAAGAGUAACGAAGUGCUGUCAGAGUGCUGAAUCACCACCUUAUCAAGUGAGUGAAUGGUCCCUUUCAUCUUACACAUAGAUAUGAAAUAUUUUACAUAAAUUGCAUGCUAUGUGUGCAUAUUAUCUGAAUACUUGUUGUCUAUGUUGGAUGGAUGAUUUUAUACAUGUUUUAAAUGAUUUAAACUGUAUAUUUAUAUCUACUAAUAUGUUGGGAUAAAACAUGGGUAGAUGAAAUAGUUGGUGUGUGAUGAAAUAAAAUAAUGAGAGAUAGGUGAUGAUAAUUAGGUGAGGAUAGAUAAGUGAUGAUGAAUCGGUGAUGUAGGAUACUACAACCUUGUCCGACAAUUUGGAGAUGUAGUCAUCUACCAGAGUAUAGAUGGCGACCACGGACUAUUAUAGAC
This 5001-nucleotide long non-coding RNA is filed under the name Lactuca sativa (garden lettuce). Its description in RNAcentral is "long non-coding RNA (LSAT_LNC007941)". The record is from RNAcentral. Lineage: Eukaryota; Viridiplantae; Streptophyta; Magnoliopsida; Asterales; Asteraceae.